UUUCUUUCCAGUCUCAUCUUGCUGACCAAGAACACAACCCAUAAUCUUAUCAAGCACAAUCAAAUACAUGAUCAACGAUCUUCCUUCAACAGGUGGAGACAAAAUCGGAGGUUCAAGCAAAUAUUCCUUGAUACUGUCAAAAGCUUUCUGGAAAUCUUCGGUCCAAUCACAAGACUGAUCUUUCCGAAGAAGCUUGAAUCUAGGCGCACACGUGGCAGUCAUGUGUGAAAUAA
RNAcentral lists this long non-coding RNA (233 nucleotides) under Lathyrus oleraceus (garden pea). RNAcentral's name for it is "Pisum sativum (pea) long non-coding RNA (PSAT_LNC033143)". Lineage: Eukaryota; Viridiplantae; Streptophyta; Magnoliopsida; Fabales; Fabaceae. The record is from RNAcentral.